CUGAAUAGUAAAUCUUGUGUGCGGAAGUUCCGUCAGAACCCACCCAGAGUUCAUAAAUAGUGGCAUCUGCAAGCCAUGAAUCAACCAUAGCCUUUGCUGAUAUCCAUUCAGGUAUACCACGGACUUGAGAGUCCAAAUCAACAAAACCAUCUUCGCUUAAACUGCGGAUAACUCCACCCUUCUCAUUGUUGUAGGCUACGUAUGUACCAGAUUCGACAUAAGGUAUUUGAUCAGAAUCAGGGUUAUUGAGAUUGAAAUCCAAAUCAAAUGGAGUCGCGGAGAAUUUGAGGUAAACGUAAACAGGUAAACAGUUAGGGCAAGAAGUGGGUAGUCCGAAACAGGAUUUUCGGGUCACAAGUGUCAG
This 364-nucleotide unclassified non-coding RNA is filed under the name Hevea brasiliensis (rubber tree). Lineage: Eukaryota; Viridiplantae; Streptophyta; Magnoliopsida; Malpighiales; Euphorbiaceae. The record is from RNAcentral.